ACGCCGUCCGUGAAGUAGCAGAAGGGAGCGAGCACGUCCCCCUGAAAUUGGCCCCGCUGCGGCGGCGAGGAGCGCUGGCCGGGCACGUACCCCGCCGGUCUGCGCUGGGAUGAUGCUGGAGCAGGACACCGGCCUCUCCUUGGCCAUCGCGCAGAUCGUGCAGCGGCUGAAGGGCUCCAGCCUUCAUUCCCAGCUGGAGCGGCAGGCCCGGGGUAGUCUACACAAACCAGAAAUUAAACUUGAAUCACUAAAGGAAGAUAUUAAGGAAUUUCUGAAGACCUCAGGAUGGGAAAAGAGGCUUCAGAAUGCUGUUUAUAGUGAACUCAAUGUGUUCCCUUCACCCUGUCAUCCUGCAGCACCCCCUGAGCACAUAAAGGAACCCUUAGUUUACAUGAGGAAAGCACAGGGAAGCUGGGAGAAGCGAAUUCUGAAGAGUCUAAAUAGCAUGUGCACAGAACUCAGUAUCCCAUUAGCACGAAAGAGACCUAUAGGAGAGCAAAAAGAACUUCUUAAUAAAUGGAAUGAAAUGGGAACUGAUGAGCCAGAUCUAACUCUCUUCCGACCUGUUUAUGCACCUAAAGAUUUUCUUGAGGUACUGAUGAAUCUUCGCAACCCAAAUUAUGAAAAUGGGGAUCAGCCUAGUUUCAGAAAUCAUCUGGGUCUAAUUCAGGUUCCUCUAAAAGUUAAAGACAUCCCUGAACUGAAAGACUAUUUCAGUGAGCUAGGCUUGAAUACAGGACAGCUGGGUAUUGAUGAUUCUACAGAAGUGCCUCCAGAACUCUUUGAAAAUGAACAUAUACGUGUUGGGCAAACAGUUUUAACAGAACAAGAUAGUGCUGCAGCCCAACAGUAUGUCCGUCAGGGAUGCCCAACAGCACUCCGAGCUGAACUGUGGGCACUCAUUCUGAAUAUUUCUAAUCAGCCUGAGGACAUUUUGUACUACGAACAGCUGAAGUCCAAUGUGAUUCAGCAUGAUCUUUUAGUGGACAGCCUGAUUUACAAAGAUGUAAAGCUGACAGCAAGCAAUGAUGACUACUAUUUUGUAUUUGAGGAUUAUUUAUAUCAGGUGCUGCUCUGUUUUUCCCGAGAUACAUCAGUACUGGAGCACUUUUCUUACAAUAGCGCUACUCCACCCAAAUCAUACAUACGAGGAAAACUUGGCAUGGAAGAAUAUGCAGUUUUUUAUCCACCAAAUGGUGUAAUUCCUUUUCAUGGCUUUUCAAUGUAUGUUGCUCCACUUUGUUUUCUGUACCAUGAACCUUCCAAAUUGUAUCAGAUAUUCCGUGAGAUGUAUGUGCGUUUUUUCUUCAGACUCCAUUCCAUCUCUUCUCAUCCUUCUGGCAUUGUGUCACUAUGUUUGCUGUUUGAGACACUUCUUCAAACCCAUCUCCCUCAACUCUUCUAUCAUCUUCGAGAAAUUGGGGCGCAACCACUGCGAAUAUCGUUUAAAUGGAUGGUACGAGCAUUCUCUGGUUACUUAGCUACAGACCAGCUUCUGCUUUUGUGGGACAGAAUCCUAGGAUACAAUUCUCUAGAAAUUCUCGCUGUCCUGGCAGCUGCUGUGUUUGCUUUCCGAGCAGUGAACCUGAUGGAGGUGACAUCACUGGCUGCAGCUGAAGCUGUACUUGCUGACCUUUCAACCUUGAAGGUUAUGCCUCUUCUUCAGAUCUUCCUGUUUGCCACUGUCACUUGAUCUGCUUCAAGGUCACUGACUCGGCACAUCCAGUCUUUCAUUAGAAACUAAUAAUGAACUAUGCAACGUCUGCAUAAAACCAAAUUAGACUCGUGGAUGCGUUAUGAAGAUGGCAGUUCUUUCUUAUCCCCUAUCCCACACACUCUUUUCAAGACCUGUAUAUGUGUGGCCUCUGCUGGUCCAAGAGCUCAGGCUUCAAUUCAGCAUCCAGCUCAGAUCCCUGCAUGACUGUGUAUUGCACUGUAACUAGACCACCAGGUGGCCCAUCUUCUAUUGAUUAUAAUUUCUUUUUAUGUUUUUUUCCAGGGAUUCUGAAAUACUAAAGAGAAUCAUUAGGAUUAAUUUAUUACUUUAUUUUAAUACCUAAUAAAGGAUUAUAGUUAAAAUUGAGUGAAGUGUAUAACAUUGCAUACCCCAUGCAUUCACCGUAUCACUUUGUUUUGGAACAGUUUCUACUUUUCAAAUACAGUAUGGAUGUGUGUGGAACGUGACCCUCUGUAUUUUAAUAGAGAUCCAGCUUCCAUUUACACUAGACUGUUAUCUACAUUAUUAAUAUACAGCAUUAACAAUGCAAACAUUAGCUUUAUAUAGACCCCAAAAAACAUACUUAUACCUUGCAUAUAAAUUGGGCAUGCUGAAUGUCUGACAGUAAGGCUAUGUCUACACAGCAAUGUAAGCCCGAGCUUAAGUCUCACCCCCUUGCAUCCACACACUAAUUGUGUUAACCUAGGGCUCAAACCUAGUGUCCCAGGACUCUGCAGGGCUGGAGGGUCUGAGCCUAUGUUAAGCUGAGAUCUAGUGUCCGAACCCUAUUGCUUUCCUGUAUGCACAUAGCCUUGGUCUGACUCGAAUCCUGGAAGUCCUCUGGAUGUAUUCCAGAGAUCCUUAUGGCAACUUCCUUAGUCCUAUCUCUGCUGACAGUCUGUGGUGCAGUCUAGUGCAAAUGGAAGCCACACCUCCCUUUGUCAGUUUGAGUACAUUGACACUUCCAUUAUGAUUAUGGCCAUGCAGUCAAUCUCAAAGCAAACAUCUAACAAAAGAGUUAAUUACAAUUAUAUGAAAUUACAUAGUUUAAAAUAGUAGUAUUGCAGAAGACUAGGACCUGGCAUGUGAAUUGAAAGCUGACUAUAUUUUUCAAUGGACACACAAUUUGUGCAAGACAAAGAGUGUGGCUAAUUUUUAUGCUUUGUAUUUUUUUUUUAAUAAAUAUGUUGGAUCUCUUUAUAUAUCUACUGAUUCGGACACAAAUUAGAUUUUGGCAAGCAAGGGCUCAAUGAAAGCUCUGGGAUUUACUAAUGACUCUGUAGUUUAGUUUUAUCCAGCAGAUUUGGUGGUUCAUAGAAAGAAAUAUUUUGUACUUAUAUGGCACUUUUCAUCUGAAAAUCUGAAACUGGGAUUAGUUAUAGUUCCUAAGACCCCUUACUAAUGUUAAAUCAGUACAAAUGAACUAUAAAUAGCAGUGGUAUUUAAUUGUUUUCUAUCUGUACAGAAUUGUGUCCUAACUUUUUUGUAACUAGUGACAUGGUAUUUUCCUC
Molecule: RNA transcript, 3228 nt
Organism: Gopherus evgoodei (Goodes thornscrub tortoise)
Lineage: Eukaryota; Metazoa; Chordata; Testudines; Testudinidae
Gene: TBC1D19
Gene name: TBC1 domain family member 19
Exons: 22
Source: RefSeq, a predicted model, not a curated record